UGUAGGGAUAUAUGGGGCUCUAUGGGGUUUUAUGGCGUCUCUAUGGAGUCUUAUGGGGUCCAUAAGGGAUCUUAUGGGGUCUCUAUGGGGUCGCUAUGGGGUCCCUAUGGGUCUCUAUGGGGUUUCUAUGGGUCUCUAUAGGGUUUUAUGGUGUCUCUAUGAGUCUCUAUGGGGUCUUAUGGGGUCUCUAUGGGUCCCUAUGGGGUCUUAUGUGGUCCCUAUGGGUCUCUAUGGGGUCUUACGGGGUCCCUAUGGGGUCUUAUGGGGUUUUAUGGGGUCUCUAUGGGUCCCUAUGGGGUCUUAUGGGGUCUCUAUGGGGUUUUAUGGAGUCCAUAUGGGAACUUAUAGGGUCUCUAAGGGUCCCUAUGGGGUCUUAUGGGAUCCCUAUGGGGUCUUAUGGGGUCUCUAUGGGGUCUCUAUGGGUCCCUAUGGGUCUCUAUGGGUCUCUAUGGGGUCUCUAUGGGUCCCUAUGGGUCUCUAUGGGGUCUCUAUGGGGUCUUAUGGGGUUCCUAUGGGGUUUUAUGGGGUCCAUAUGGGGUCUUAUGGGGUCCCUAUGGGUCUCUAUGGGGUCUUAUGGGUCUCUAUGGGUUCUUAGGGGGUCCCUAUGGGGUUUUUAUGGGGUCCCUAUGGGGUUUUUAUGGGGUCCCUCUGUGUCCCCACGCGUGGCGCGCUGUUCGCAGGUCUCGCAGCAGGGGGCGCUGU
This 702-nucleotide long non-coding RNA is filed under the name Phasianus colchicus (ring-necked pheasant). RNAcentral's name for it is "lncRNA (ENSPCLG00000017374.1)". The record is from RNAcentral. Lineage: Eukaryota; Metazoa; Chordata; Aves; Galliformes; Phasianidae.